RNAcentral lists this ribosomal RNA (779 nucleotides) under Streptomyces olivoviridis. RNAcentral's name for it is "bacterial SSU rRNA". It matches the Rfam family "Bacterial small subunit ribosomal RNA", at positions 22 to 818 of the family's 1533-position model. Lineage: Bacteria; Bacillati; Actinomycetota; Actinomycetes; Kitasatosporales; Streptomycetaceae. The record is from RNAcentral.
GCUCAGGACGAACGCUGGCGGCGUGCUUAACACAUGCAAGUCGAACGAUGAAGCCCUUCGGGGUGGAUUAGUGGCGAACGGGUGAGUAACACGUGGGCAAUCUGCCCUUCACUCUGGGACAAGCCCUGGAAACGGGGUCUAAUACCGGAUAACACUCUGUCCCUCAUGGGGCGGGGUUAAAAGCUCCGGCGGUGAAGGAUGAGCCCGCGGCCUAUCAGCUUGUUGGUGGGGUAAUGGCCUACCAAGGCGACGACGGGUAGCCGGCCUGAGAGGGCGACCGGCCACACUGGGACUGAGACACGGCCCAGACUCCUACGGGAGGCAGCAGUGGGGAAUAUUGCACAAUGGGCGAAAGCCUGAUGCAGCGACGCCGCGUGAGGGAUGACGGCCUUCGGGUUGUAAACCUCUUUCAGCAGGGAAGAAGCGAAAGUGACGGUACCUGCAGAAGAAGCACCGGCUAACUACGUGCCAGCAGCCGCGGUAAUACGUAGGGUGCGAGCGUUGUCCGGAAUUAUUGGGCGUAAAGAGCUCGUAGGCGGCUUGUCACGUCGGAUGUGAAAGCUCGGGGCUUAACCCCGAGUCUGCAUUCGAUACGGGCUAGCUAGAGUGUGGUAGGGGAGAUCGGAAUUCCUGGUGUAGCGGUGAAAUGCGCAGAUAUCAGGAGGAACACCGGUGGCGAAGGCGGAUCUCUGGGCCAUUACUGACGCUGAGGAGCGAAAGCGUGGGGAGCGAACAGGAUUAGAUACCCUGGUAGUCCACGCCGUAAACGUUGGGAACUA